UGCAGGCUUUAAUUACUGGUCUCGUUAUAAAGGGGAAUACCAUGAAUAUUCACCUUUGAAUAUUCAAAGAAACAGCCAAGAAGCAUUUGGAGCCAGGGAUAGCUUGCUGGGUUGCUGUGGCAACACUUUACCUGUGACAUUUGAACUAAAACUGAUUAUUGAUGCUAUUUCAAAUGGAUGGAGGAAUAUAUGAUCUUAGGACAGGUAGGUAUAGUAGGGCCAUAUGUAGCAGAGCUAAUUUUAUUAUUUUCUUUUAUUUAUUUAUUUUCCCUGAAACCCCUAUAAUUUAUUAUUUGUGAAUUUCCCCAAAAUUCGUGCCCGCCUGUAAAUAGGUUGCUAUCCUGUCAUUUCAUAUGGCAUACCGUUUUUUUGGUCCCCCUGGGGCGUCAUUUAAUGUUGCACUCCCGAGUCCAUGGUUCGGUUACAGCGGUAAUGGUGAACUGUGUCGGGAUUCUUCUCUCCCUUUUUUCGUGUAUUUAUGUUGUUGUUUUGCUGAAAAUAAUUAUUUUGUGAUCCGCACUGAGAUAUAAUGUGCUAACGGACCCUUCAGUCUAGCCUCCAUUGCAUGCAUAUCGUAAUUUUGCUUUUAAACCGAAUUAUUGAUAAUUCAUUUGUUUGCCGGCUAGCCUCGUGCUAGCUGCGCCAAGCAUAUUGUACAUGAAUGCUAGUGCAAGUUUAGCCUCCAGCUGCCUCGUGGUCUGAUUUGUUAGCCGGCUAGCCUUGUUCUAGCUGCACCAGACUUAUUAUACAUGAAUGUUAAUGGAAGUUUAGCCGUUAGCUGCCUCGUGGUUCGAUAGUGCACCGAAUAACGCUAAUGUUUUGCUCAUACGCAAUGUAAUGAGAUUUUGUUUCAUACCCUGUAUUCCAUGCACGUUUUAUGUAUUUUCGAUAGGAUGGAGAGACGUUGAUAACACAGUAACGACUGACGCCCAGGAUGUGCUUUUAUUUUUUUAAAAAAGAAUGCCGUCUAAAGAGAAAACGAGAGGGUUGGUACCCAGGGAGGCCAUGGAGAGGGCUGCAGAUUUGGAGAUUAGGGGGGCGGGAGGAUUUUGGCUGGUGAAAAUGCUGAGUGGCUACUGACUUUGAGAAACCACUAGCCACAGUGGCUGGAAAUAAUUACCAUAUAUGUAAUUUUCAUCACAGUCAAAGGCAUGUCAUCUGCAAGCUAUUGCUUUUUCCACCAAGGAAGAUGAUGUGGCCAAACAGCAAAACAACAAAACUUACCAGACUUGAUCAUACAUAUAUAUUUUCAUUUAUUUUUAUUUUCACAUUGACACUUAAAUGGGUAAUAAACACAAAAUUGAAUAAACACCCUACGUUUUUUGGAGUUCUAAAGCUGCCUACUUCAACAAAGACCCCAUCUCCACCUCUCUUCUUGAUUGAUGGGUAAGUAUUAUGUAUUCAACCAAUCUAAUACAACUUCACAAAUUAGCCUGCUCAUCAAACCUCCUGUGCCAGAGUUGUGACAGCCCGGACAGUUUUUUUCUCUUUAGAUUAGUUUAGCUAGAAAUCCUUUUUAAUCUUUUCUUUUUUCUAUAUUGCUCUUUAGCUCUAUAUUUGGCACUUUAGUAGUAGUUACAAGUAGUAAUGCUAGUAUCUUAUAGUUCUUGUUAUAGUAUUGUUUUUAACAUUUAGGAAGUUACACUAGUUUUUAUAAUUGUGUAUUGUGUUGCCAAUUGUAUCGUUAAUCUUUUCUAAUUGCAGUAUUUUCCGAUUUUAGUUUCAAGUUUAAAAUUAGAAAACAACCAAGCCUUGAGUCCUAUUCCGUUUAUUUAACAAAAAUACCUUUGCAGGCCCUCAGAAAGCAACAAUUCAAAGCCAUUUGCUGACAUUAUAAUAAGAUAGCAAUUAUAGCUUGAUCUAUGGUGGCUCCUCAUUCAAAAUGGUGAGACACUGGAUUCUUUUUCGGUGAGCGUGGGAUUGUUUUACCCCUUGCUGGCUCCACCUACGUGCCUAUGACACAUUACCGACUGGUGGUUCUAUGCCCCCCCCCCCCCCGCCGCUGUGCUCUUACUCUCAACCCCAAUUCGCAUCUUUUAAAAUUGUGAAGUGGGCAGAGACAGGCCAAAAGCUGGCAUUGCUGUACUUUAAGGGAAUGAUAGCUGAAUAAGAGGUGAGUACUUGAAGAUUCCAAAUCUGUGUUUAUCUCAAAUAAGACCACUUUUAAAAAAAGUGUUCUGUAAAGUUGAGAGCUGUGCGAUGCUCCAGGUGAUAUAAAUGAACCCAUGAGGGGCCGGCUAAGGACCACUACAGAUUGUAGCCUUCUACUUCAGAUAUACUGCUUUCUUCAGCUCACUCCAUGGUGACAGCGAGGCAAAAGGCUGUCCAUUGGGCAUUAUGUUGGUAGGUCUACAGUUACGUUUGAGGGUCUUUCAUUGAAGGUAUUCAUCGGAAAGUAAUUGCACGGCUACAUGUCGGUUCAUUUGACGAAGAGUAGCUCCACCCCAGUGCACUCACUGAUCUGACUUUUACAUUCGAUUAAAUCUUCUCGUCGUCCCUUCUGCCACAUCCUACUGGGGGCCACUCUGCAGAUAAAUAUGAUUAUCUAUGUUUCCGCAGUAUCUUAGGGGUUCGAAAACAUUGCCCUGCUUUUCCUGCUCAAACAUAACAGGCCAGCGGCUCCAGAUCAAAAUGGAAUUUAUUAAAUCCAUGGACAGGCUUGGGGAGUGGCAGUUCAGCUCACCUGCAAUAAAAAUAUCAGCUGUGAACUAAUCCAGAAACACAGAAAAUUUAUAAAAGCUUAUAAAAGUAAGCGAUGACCACUUCUUCAUUCCUUCCUGCCCGGUCACCAAAGGCUGUAGGACAUUGUACUCUCCCACUCUGUGAAUCCUUCCAGAAUUCUCCCAACUUUUAGAAUUCUUCAACUCCUGGGCUUGCAGAAGGCCUGAGAUUGCUGUUGUCAUCAUAGAAGCUCAUCUGAGCGGACAGGUAAAGUUGAUCUCGACAGCAAUGAGGCCGCUGCCAACUUCAGCCUUUGACGAAGCAUCUUAACUCACGUAGAACCCAGCACACACCCUGCAUGUAGAGAAUAGAGUGCACACAUACAGAAUAAUGAGCUCCGCAUGUUUAGAUAUUGCAUGAAACUAUUGUAUAGAUUAAAUAAUUACAUACACAAAUCAGGUUUUGCAUUUACACUUAAAUAGGUUUUAGUUACAUAUUUAGAUUUUACACUUGCAAUUUGACUUACAUUUGCAAAUAUCUAUUUACAAUUAGGUAAUGUUUUGGCAGCUAUCUCACUCCAUAUGUAGGGGGUGCCUUUUGCAAAACACAAAUUUGCAUAGACUCACUAAGGCCCUCAGAAUCCUUUCCUGCAAGAGUCCUGAGUUGUAUGUCCCCCUCGAUUACUAAAUAUGAAUAUGCACACAUUUUGGAAAAGAUAUUUUACUACAGCUCCUUUAAAUGCAGCCUCUGUUCAAAUUUUGGAAAUAUGCGUACAAAUAUACAUACAAAUUGAAAAGGGACCAAUAUAGAUCUUAUGUAUCACAUUUUGUGCUACUACUGCCCUAGGUGGCGCUACUGCACCUCUUCAAAAUUGCCAUUUCUUACAUUAUUAUUGCAGAUGUACCCUUACUUCCAAUACACACCAAAGAGGGUUUGGAUGAUAUUUGGAUUAGGUUUGCUGUCCAUGACAUAGUACAAGUUGCUACAAUAAAUUCUGGCGUAGGACAUAGAAGGGUUGAUGGUCUCAGGGAUUGUUGUUUGGAAAACUCUGUAGACGGUGCCAGAGGCAGUUGUACGCGUCAUCUACAGUGAUGUUUGGAGUUGGAUGGUGACAAUACUACUCCUAUCCAGGACUUUGUAUGGGAAACAUUUCACACAAAAUAUAUACUAAACAAUGAAUAUGUUCAGUCACAGUCUACCCUACCCAAAACAGUCUGGGGUGCACACAAAAGCCCGGGUAGGUGUAAAAAUGACCCCAGAAGUGUUAUAAAGUGAAAUUCCCCUUUAAAUAAUUGAGGCCAGAAGUUGGCAUGGAAACUAUAAACAGAUAUGGCCCUCAUUGCCCACCUCUGCUCUAGAGAGUCAGAAAAAAUGGAAUGCCUCUGCACAACAUACAGGAAUAGAAGAAGAAAGGAGAACAGGCAAAACACGCAGAAGAGGAGUGGAGCGGCAGGUGUGGCUACCAAAAGGUCAUGGCCUGAAUUACGAACCAUAGACUUCCUGGAGCCCUACCUUCUAAAUAAAGCAACUGGAGGUAACAUGGAGGCAGAGGCAGAGGCAGAGGGGGAGCAGGAGCAAGAGCAAGUGGGGGGCAGUUAGUGGAGGACAGUACACUUGAAGGUGAUGAAGAAAAAGGUGACAGCAAGGAUAGAUUAAUGGGGUAAAAUGUGGCCAAAGCUGUGUUUUUAUUUAACCAUUAUUUAACCAGGAAAACCCCAUUCAGAUUGAAAUCUCUUUUGCAAGGGGGACCUGACAUGAAACACAACAAGACUUACACCUAACAAAAUGUACAAACAUCAAAUGAGGAAUGAGACAGAGGUGUAACAAUAAUUAAAAGUAGAAAAGAGGUUAAAAGCAAGAGCAUACUUCAGUCACAGAGUCAUGAAUUGCAUGUUUAAAGUCCACAAUUGAAAUUAAUUUAAAGUUUAAAAUUCUUUUGCAGAUUGUUCCAACUAUAAGGUGCAAAAUAUCUGAAACCCAUUUUACCAAAUUCAGUAGUGGGAGGAGGGACUUUAAAGUAUCACGUCCCUAGAGCGGAGGUAAUAACUAUGUGAAUUUCUAAUUAGCAGACAGCUGAGGUAGGAAGGGAGUAGAGCAAUUGUUGUUUUGUAGAUGAAUAUGUACCAGUGCGUCAAUUAAGUAAGUAAAAGUAAAAUUAAGUAGUACCAUAAGUUAAAAGAUGGAUCAUGACAUUAUAAUGAAUGUGUGGCAGGGCUCGGUUUGUGAGGGAGAAUCGGGGCAAUAGGAGGACCACGCCUACUGGUUAAGUAGGCACGCACACCUGGAUAACAUUACGAAUCAGUCCAGGGUUUAAAAGUGUGCCUUCUUUUCCCAGUAGGUGCCUGAGACCGGGGAUCACAUAUCCUUCCGAGAGAGCAAGCGAGCGAUCAAGCAUGAAUGGGAAGUGGGCUGAAAAGCUGUCGGUUUUUGUUCAUUUAUUUUGCCUUUGUUAUUGUAAUUUAUUAUUUUUACCUAGAGCCCAUGAGGUGGAUAGGAGAAGCCUUUUCCGUUGAUUUAAUUUUCCUGUGUGGUAAACCGCUGUCUGUCUCUCAAUAUUUGAACAAUAAAUUGCUGGUGAAAACCAGGGGUGUGGCACGGCAUGUGACAGAAUGUUAUUAAUAUAGUU
Anguilla rostrata (American eel) is the source of this 5287-nucleotide long non-coding RNA. RefSeq lists it as uncharacterized. The record is from RefSeq and is a predicted model, not a curated record. The transcript is spliced from 6 exons. Lineage: Eukaryota; Metazoa; Chordata; Actinopteri; Anguilliformes; Anguillidae.